GCCCAGGUACGCCAAUCCGGCAGAGCGACUCGGCUUAAACCCGAGUGUUUGCGGGUUCGACUCCCGCCUUGGGCA
This 75-nucleotide transfer RNA is filed under the name Planctomycetaceae bacterium. RNAcentral describes it as "tRNA-Leu". It matches the Rfam family "tRNA". Rfam says of the family: Transfer RNA (tRNA) molecules are approximately 80 nucleotides in length. Their secondary structure includes four short double-helical elements and three loops (D, anti-codon, and T loops). The record is from RNAcentral. Lineage: Bacteria; Pseudomonadati; Planctomycetota; Planctomycetia; Planctomycetales; Planctomycetaceae.